GGCGCCGUACCCAAGCGGUAAGGGAGCGGUCUGCAAAACCGUUAUGCAAGGGUUCGAUUCCCUUCGGCGCCU
RNAcentral lists this transfer RNA (72 nucleotides) under Spirochaetia bacterium. RNAcentral's name for it is "tRNA-Cys". It matches the Rfam family "tRNA". Rfam says of the family: Transfer RNA (tRNA) molecules are approximately 80 nucleotides in length. Their secondary structure includes four short double-helical elements and three loops (D, anti-codon, and T loops). Lineage: Bacteria; Pseudomonadati; Spirochaetota; Spirochaetia. The record is from RNAcentral.